RNAcentral lists this unclassified non-coding RNA (200 nucleotides) under soil metagenome. Its description in RNAcentral is "partial contains internal transcribed spacer 2 and large subunit ribosomal RNA". The record is from RNAcentral.
UCAUUGCACCCCUCAAGCGUAGCUGGUAUUGGGCCCUCGUCCCUGCGGACGUGCCCGAAGACGAUUGGCGUCGUCCGAUGUGGACUCAAGCGUAGUAAAUCUUUAUCUCCCGCUUUGGACUCCGCCCGUCGACGUGCCAAAACCCCCCACGAUUUUCAAUGAUUGACCUCGGAUCAGGUAGGGAUACCCGCUGAACUUAA